UACGGAGGGGACUAGCGUUGUUCGGAAUUACUGGGCGUAAAGCGCACGUAGGCGGCUUUGUAAGUCAGGGGUGAAAUCCUGGGGCUCAACCUCGGAACUGCCUUUGAUACUGCAAGUCUUGAGUUCGAGAGAGGUGGGUGGAAUUCCUAGUGUAGAGGUGAAAUUCGUAGAUAUUAGGAAGAACACCAGUGGCGAAGGCGGCCCACUGGCUCGAUACUGACGCUGAGGUGCGAAAGCGUGGGGAGCAAACAGG
RNAcentral lists this ribosomal RNA (253 nucleotides) under uncultured bacterium. Its description in RNAcentral is "partial 16S ribosomal RNA". It matches the Rfam family "Bacterial small subunit ribosomal RNA", at positions 524 to 776 of the family's 1533-position model. The record is from RNAcentral.